AUACGGAGGGGGCAAGCGUUGUUCGGAAUUACUGGGCGUAAAGCGCGCGUAGGCGGGCUGGUUAGUUGGGGGUGAAAUCCCAGGGCUUAACCCUGGAACUGCCUUCAAUACUGCCAGUCUAGAGUUCGAGAGAGGUGAGUGGAAUUCCUAGUGUAGAGGUGAAAUUCGUAGAUAUUAGGAAGAACACCAGUGGCGAAGGCGGCUUACUGGCUCGAUACUGACGCUGAGGCGCGAAAGCGUGGGGAGCAAACAGGAUUAGAAACCCGAGUAGUCC
RNAcentral lists this ribosomal RNA (274 nucleotides) under uncultured bacterium. Its description in RNAcentral is "partial 16S ribosomal RNA". It matches the Rfam family "Bacterial small subunit ribosomal RNA", at positions 523 to 796 of the family's 1533-position model. The record is from RNAcentral.